AAAGUCGUAACAAGGUCUCCGUUGGUGAACCAGCGGAGGGAUCAUUAGAGAGUAUAAAAACUCCCAAACCCCUGUGAACAUACCUAUCGUUGCCUCGGCGGCGCCCCCCCGGGGACCGCCGAAGGCCAUAUAAACUCUUGUUUUAUUUUGCAACUCUGAAUCUAAAAAGCAAAUAAGUUAAAACUUUCAACAACGGAUCUCUUGGUUCUGGCAUCGAUGAAGAACGCAGCGAAAUGCGAUAAGUAAUGUGAAUUGCAGAAUUCAGUGAAUCAUCGAAUCUUUGAACGCACAUUGCGCCCAUUAGUAUUCUAGUGGGCAUGCCUGUUCGAGCGUCAUUAAUACCAUUAAGCCCUGUAGCUUAGCGUUGGGAGCCUGCUGGUGCGAGCCUGCAGCUCCUCAAAAAUAGUGGCGGAGUUAGCGUAUACUCUAGGCGUAGUAAUUUUUCACUCGCUUCUGUGUUGCGCUGGCGCCUGCCGUAAAACAGCCCAAUUUUAAAGGUUUGACCUCGGAUCAGGUAGGAAUACCCGCUGAACUUAAGCAUAUCAAU
Molecule: ribosomal RNA, 547 nt
Filed under: Clypeosphaeria sp. D4a2a2
Lineage: Eukaryota; Fungi; Ascomycota; Sordariomycetes; Xylariales; Xylariaceae
Description: eukaryotic LSU rRNA
Rfam family: 5.8S ribosomal RNA (bases 182-335)
Source: RNAcentral